Molecule: long non-coding RNA, 605 nt
Organism: Capsicum annuum
Lineage: Eukaryota; Viridiplantae; Streptophyta; Magnoliopsida; Solanales; Solanaceae
Exons: 2
Source: RefSeq, a predicted model, not a curated record
AUUUUCUUUCUUAGAAAAAUGCUAGGUAUCUUCUACAUGAGUGAGUAAGAGACACCUCUCCCAUCAGGGAAAGGUAAUAAAUAGUGUGUAUGUAAGUAUAAGGAAUAUCAGAUUAAAGAUUUUUCGUAUGUUAUAAUAUGCUCAAGAAAUAAAAAGUUUGUUUCAUAUAUCAUUUGCCAAUCUUUUGUGCUGGUAAAAAAUGAAGGUUGUGAUCUUCAGCCUUAACGGAGGAAGGACGGAGCAGUAGCCUGAGACAGUGAGUCAUAAUAGGCUAAAAAGUUCUUCAUAGACGGAAGGAGAAGCACUGUGGUGUUGAUACAACUAACAUACAAGAAAGUUGAAAGAUAGAAUCUGAGUAUAGCUGGAUAUAUCAACAAAAUAUUGAUAGUAGAAUUGUUGAGGCUGAGAACGAGGAUGCGGAAGAUGAGUUUUUUAGUCUUUUGUAUAUUUUGUAGUUUGAAUUUGGAACCUCGAUAAAUUUUGUAAUUAGUUUGAUUUUUAAUGUUUGUAUUCUUAUGUUGGUUGAUUGUAAUUAAAUGAUUGGUGGUUUGUAUUGUAAAUAAUUUGAUUUUUAAUUUUGUAAAUAAUUUGAUUUUUAAUGUUUG